ACUCCUACGGGAGGCAGCAGUGGGGAAUAUUGCGCAAUGGGGGCAACCCUGACGCAGCAACGCCGCGUGUGUGAAGAAGGCCCUCGGGUCGUAAAGCACUGUCGAAUAGAACGAGCCGGAUGCGGUUAAUACCCGUGUCCCCGACGGUACUAUUUGAGGAAGCACCGGCUAACUCCGUGCCAGCAGCCGCGGUAAUACGGAGGGUGCAAGCGUUGUUCGGAAUUAUUGGGCGUAAAGCGCGCGCAGGCGGCCUGUUAAGUUUGAUGUGAAAUCCCUCGGCUCAACCGAGGACGUGCAUUGAAUACUGGCAGGCUUGAAUCCUGGAGAGGGUGGCGGAAUUCCCAGUGUAGAGGUGAAAUUCGUAGAUAUUGGGAGGAACACCAGUGGCGAAGGCGGCCACCUGGACAGUGAUUGACGCUGAGGCGCGAAAGCAUGGGUAGCAAACAGGAUUAGAUACCCUGGUAGUC
Molecule: ribosomal RNA, 467 nt
Filed under: uncultured bacterium
Lineage: Bacteria
Description: bacterial SSU rRNA
Rfam family: Bacterial small subunit ribosomal RNA
Source: RNAcentral